This 451-nucleotide ribosomal RNA is filed under the name Campylobacter concisus. Its description in RNAcentral is "bacterial SSU rRNA". It matches the Rfam family "Bacterial small subunit ribosomal RNA", at positions 29 to 497 of the family's 1533-position model. The record is from RNAcentral. Lineage: Bacteria; Pseudomonadati; Campylobacterota; Epsilonproteobacteria; Campylobacterales; Campylobacteraceae.
AGUGAACGCUGGCGGCGUGCCUAAUACAUGCAAGUCGAACGGACAAGUAAGAGCUUGCUCUUAUGAGUCAGUGGCGCACGGGUGAGUAAUGUAUAGCUAAUCUGCCCUACACUAGAGGACAACAGUUGGAAACGGCUGCUAAUACUCUAUACUCCUGUCUUACAUAAGUUAGAUAGGGAAAGUUUUUCGGUGUAGGAUGAGGCUAUAUUGUAUCAGCUAGUUGGUGAGGUAAUGGCUCACCAAGGCUAUGACGCAUAACUGGUCUGAGAGGAUGAUCAGUCACACUGGAACUGAGACACGGUCCAGACUCCUACGGGAGGCAGCAGUAGGGAAUAUUGCUCAAUGGGGGAAACCCUGAAGCAGCAACGCCGCGUGGAGGGUGACACUUUUCGGAGCGUAAACUCCUUUUGUUGGGGAAGAAUAAUGACGGACCUAACGAAUAAGCCCCGCA